Molecule: ribosomal RNA, 460 nt
Filed under: uncultured bacterium
Lineage: Bacteria
Description: partial 16S ribosomal RNA
Rfam family: Bacterial small subunit ribosomal RNA
Source: RNAcentral
CCUACGGGUGGUAGCAGUGAGGAAUAUUGGUCAAUGGACGAGAGUCUGAACCAGCCAAGUAGCGUGAAGGAUGACUGCCCUAUGGGUUGUACACUUCUUUUAUAUGGGAAUAAAAUGUUCCACGUGUGGGAUUUUGUAUGUACCAUAUGAAUAAGGAUCGGCUAACUCCGUGCCAGCAGCCGCGGUAAUACGGAGGGUCCGAGCGUUAUCCGGAUUUAUUGGGUUUAAGGGGAGCGUAGGUGGAUUGUUAAGUCAGUUGUGAAAGUUUGCGGCUCAACCGUAAAAUUGCAGUUGAAACUGGCAGUCUUGAGUACAGUAGAGGUGGGUGGAAUUCGUGGUGUAGAGGUGAAAUGCUUAGAUAUCACGAAGAACUCCGAGUGCGAAGGCAGUUCACUGGACUGCAACUGACACUGAGGCUCGAAAGUGUGGGUAUCAAACAGGAUUAGAGACCCGAGUAGUC